CAAGGAUUGUACAAUUGUUCUU
RNAcentral lists this non-coding RNA (22 nucleotides) under Arabidopsis thaliana (thale cress). The record is from RNAcentral. Lineage: Eukaryota; Viridiplantae; Streptophyta; Magnoliopsida; Brassicales; Brassicaceae.